GAAAUGCGAUAAGUAAUGUGAAUUGCAGAAUUCAGUGAAUCAUCGAAUCUUUGAACGCACAUUGCGCCCCCUGGUAUUCCGGGGGGCAUGCCUGUUCGAGCGUCAUUUCACCACUCAAGCCUCGCUUGGUAUUGGGCAACGCGGUCCGCCGCGUGCCUCAAAUCGACCGGCUGGGUCUUCUGUCCCCUAAGCGUUGUGGAAACUAUUCGCUAAAGGGUGUUCGGGAGGCUACGCCGUAAAACAACCCCAUUUCUAAGGUUGACCUCGGAUCAGGUAGGGAUACCCGCCGAACUUAAGC
This 298-nucleotide unclassified non-coding RNA is filed under the name plant metagenome. RNAcentral's name for it is "partial contains 5.8S ribosomal RNA, internal transcribed spacer 2, and large subunit ribosomal RNA". The stretch from base 1 to 105 matches the Rfam family "5.8S ribosomal RNA", at positions 50 to 154 of the family's 154-position model. The record is from RNAcentral.